UCCGGUAAAAAUGGCGUCGUAUCGGUGGAUUUGUCGCGUUUUUAUCACCUCUAGCAUUUAGGGCACAUUUUCGCUUACUGUGAUCUUGUUUGAGGAAACAUGAAAAUGAAUGUUGUUCAGUACCCCUUUGCAGAAAAGUGAUUAAGCUUUCCCUAAUUUCCUAGUGCCCUGGUAGAGUUUAGGCUAGUCCGGGUGGUAUUUAGUAGCCUAUUUAAAGGUACUGGGACUGGCUUGGAGGAGGAGCUUUGAGUAUACAACCAUUUAGUACUGUUCCUUUUGAAAUACAAUAGUUCACUAGGAGCUGCAUCUGCAUGCUGCAUGUGAAAAGUAAUUCUACCUCGAUUGCCUGCAUAAGCAAAUGAAAGAAAAUAAACGCCUGGAGCGGAUCAGAUGAGCCCCACCAACUGACGUCCUUUGGUGGAUUAGUAUUCAAGGCCUCGCCCACCUUGGCUUGCGACGGCCCACGGGAAGACACUAUUCAUUUUGCCUCCAGUUGACCAUCUCGGCAGAUAGGACUGGAGCAAACAGCAAGGUGCUUACAUGGCAGAACAAGUUCGUGCCUGUGCUAUUUGUGGCGAUAACAAAGCCACGUUGCAUCUCUUGCCCAAGAAAGAAGAGUUGAGGAAGAAAUGGUUGGAAUUUAUCUUUGGAACACUACCAGCGAAAUACAAUUCCAAUUUAGUUCUGUGUUCUAAUCAUUUUGACCACAGUGACUUUUCCAACUUCGGUGCUUACAGUAGUGGUUUUGCUUCAAGAUUGUUCAUAAAACCUGGAUCUGUACCGUCACGACGAUCGACCGCCAGCUCACAGACUAGCACAUUGGUGACCCCCCCCACCCACACCAGCACACAAACAGAUCCACCUAGCCUUUCAUGUCGGGCUACACUGCUUGCUAUGGGAACAUUAGGUCAUCCUGCUAGAAGCAAAGGUACCCAAACUGAAUCCUUCAUGAAAAGUAUGAGCAUUUCCACGAGUACUUUGGAUGCACCAUGGGGGCCGGCUACCUCCAUGCCCGUGAAGCAUGUUCAUCCCAGGCCAGCUAAAAGACCUCGGGUUGGGGAGGAGGAGGAGGAGGAGGAUGAAGGUGACAUCUUCACAAUAAAACCUGAACCCCACGACUCCACCUAUGAUCCAGCGCAGUCAAGGAGCAAUGUGACAGAAUCAUUACAGCCCACUGAUACGUCUUCAACUGGAUACAAAGACUCCAAGUGCAUCGUAUUGGAGAAGAACCUUAUGGAACUUUUUGAAACGUGUCCAGUCUGCAGCCGAGUGUCAGAUGUGAGGACCUACAAACGAGGAACAUAUUUGUCGGUCGUCCAAAAAUGCAAUCACUGCCAGUAUUCCAAGCAAUGGAAGAGCCAGCCAGUGAUGGCAGCGUCCCUGUAGGCAACAAUCAACCGUCUGCUGCCAUAUAUUUCACCGGCCGUUCAUAUUUUCACUCAAAGCCCUCUGCAGAGUGGAGAAGAUACUUACGAAUAAGAGGGUCCUCAGUGAUGAUGAGGAGCUAAGCUCCCGGUAUCAGACCUCAACACUGGAGGCAUUCCACCGGGUAAUCUUGGGCUUCACACCCAAAAGUGUGGUCUACUCUUCAUUGGGAUGUUGUACAGACUAUAUCUGGCAGCAAUGCCCGUCAAUGGAAACGCUGGUCGCACUCAGGCAAGAACAACUUCAGGGAAACGGAUGUACAGAAAAGGCUACGUCUACAACCUGAAAGCUGUGGUGUUUGAAGAGAUGGUCCCCAACCCCCAGUCUGCUCGGAGGAGCUCUAGAAUAUCUGACCUCAGUUUUGUACCAUCCUCUGAUGAGAGGAGCUGUGGCUGCAUAAACAUCUCGCUUUACCCCAGGGCGGCCCUAAAGACGAGGUAUUGGCCCUGUGUGUCUGGGAGCUCCCUUCGGAUCUUCAGGACAACACAAGCCGGAACAACAACUCUGACCUUUCUUCCUAAAUAACCCAGCACCAGCGUACAAAAUAUCUGCAGGCCAGAUGUCUGCAUCAGCUGGCAAAAAGAGGACAUUGCUAAUUCUGUACAUAGUUUUGUGUUUCGUUUUGCGUUUGCAUUAUUUUUUAUAGACUUCAUUAUGACUAUGUAAAUAUAAUAAAGUUAUUUGUUGAAAAUGGA
Molecule: long non-coding RNA, 2120 nt
Organism: Gadus morhua (Atlantic cod)
Lineage: Eukaryota; Metazoa; Chordata; Actinopteri; Gadiformes; Gadidae
Exons: 7
Source: RefSeq, a predicted model, not a curated record